GGUUUACUCUGUNNUGAUUUCCGUUNAGAGAGAUCUUUUGGCACCUCUAAAAAUGGUGNAGAAUANNGGGUGGGNAANAUCUGGUGUCGGCCUGACGCNUUAAUACNUUNACCCCGAGAUGNCAGGGACGUUUAUUGGGCCUAAAGCAUCCGUAGCCGGUUCCACAAGUCUUCCGUUAAAUCCACCUGCUCAACAGAUGGGCUGCGGAAGAUACUAUGGAGCUAGGAGGCGGGAGAGGCAAGCGGUACUCGAUGGGUAGGGGUAAAAUCCGUUGAUCCAUUGAAGACCACCAGUGGCGAAGGCGGCUUGCCAGAACGCGCUCGACGGUGAGGGAUGAAAGCUGGGGGAGCAAACCGGAUUAGAUACCCGGGUAGUCCCAGCUGUAAACGAUGCAGACUCGGUGAUGAGUUGGCUUUAUGCCAACUCAGUGCCGCAGGGAAGCCGUUAAGUUUGCCGCCUGGGGAGUACGGUCGCAAGACUGAAACUUAAAGGAAUUGGCGGGGGGAGCACA
Molecule: ribosomal RNA, 511 nt
Filed under: uncultured crenarchaeote
Lineage: Archaea; Thermoproteati; Thermoproteota
Description: partial 16S ribosomal RNA
Rfam family: Archaeal small subunit ribosomal RNA
Source: RNAcentral